Molecule: long non-coding RNA, 870 nt
Filed under: Monodelphis domestica (gray short-tailed opossum)
Lineage: Eukaryota; Metazoa; Chordata; Mammalia; Didelphimorphia; Didelphidae
Description: lncRNA (ENSMODG00000035100.2)
Source: RNAcentral
AGGUCUUCAGUGUAAUUAACAUCUAGACCCUAUUAUCUAAUUAAAUGGAGAGGAGGAGACCUCACCAAACCAAGGAGCCAUUCUCCUGGUCACCUGUGUAACAGAAGUAAUACAAGUGAAGACAAGGCAGCUGGAGGUGUUAGUGAAUUGAGGAGCCCCUGAUGUGGGGAGGUUUAGGAUGGAAAAUCAUUUGAACCUGGGAUUUCUGAGAUAUGUAGGGCUAAAGCUGGUGUGUUUGUGUGUGACCCCCCUAAGCAGAGGUCCACCAGGAGAGAUGAACCUAAGGAGAGGAGAACCAGUACAAGUUAGAAAAACAGAGCAGUUUAAAAAUGCCCAAGCAGAUGGGAAGUGGGAUGGACCUAUAAGUGAAUGCUAUUCUUCUGGCCUGGGAGAGAUUAAGGAGACCCAGUCUUGAAAAGAAAAGAAAAAGAAAAAAAAGGAAAAGAAGGGAGAUAGGUGAUUUCAGAAACUUCUUUGCUCAUUCUGGUAAUUGGCCCAUAUAUGCCCACUCUGCUUUCUUGGAACCUCAUCAAGUUGUUCCUGCAGUUCUGGAAGCCUGGUGCUCUAUAUCUCCAUCAUCAAGUAUGAAAAAUGAAAUUAUAAAUUCAAAGACUAACAGUUUCUUUGUCAAGUCAUGGGAAGGUGAUUGGUUGUUUUUCCAAGGAGGCCUGAUGGGGUUCCAGAUUUUCUCUUUUCCCCCACUUCUUCCCAUAACCAUUGAGAAGGUAAGAAAUAUGAUAUUCAUUAUACAUAUGAAGUCAUGCAAAACAUAUUUCCAUAUUAGCCAUGCUCUGGGGGUGGGCAAGAAAAACAAGACAAAGAAGGGAAAAAAACCAAACUAUGUUUCAGCCUGCACUCUGAGUCCCUCAG